This 827-nucleotide ribosomal RNA is filed under the name Bathylaimus sp. Ugent CeMoFe3L7G15. RNAcentral describes it as "SSU rRNA". It matches the Rfam family "Eukaryotic small subunit ribosomal RNA", at positions 109 to 941 of the family's 1831-position model. Lineage: Eukaryota; Metazoa; Nematoda; Enoplea; Enoplida; Tripyloididae. The record is from RNAcentral.
GCCAUUGUUUAUUUGAUUUUUACUCUACUUGGAUACCUGUGGUAACCUAAGAGCUAAUACACGCAUUCAAGUCCAGACCUUACGGGACGGACGCAUUUAUUAGAACAAAACCAAUCGGGCUUGCCCGCUAUUUGGUGAAUCUAAAUAACUUCGCUGAUCGCACGGUCCUAGCACCGGCGACGUAUCAUUCAAAUGUCUGCCUUAUCAACUUUCGAUGGUAGUUUAUGCGCCUACCAUGGUUGUAACGGGUAACGGAGAAUUAGGGUUCGACUCCGGAGAGGGAGCCUGAGAAACGGCUACCACAUCCAAGGAAGGCAGCAGGCACGCAAAUUACCCACUCCCGGCACGGGGAGGUAGUGACGAAAAAUAACGAGACGGUUCUCUAAGAGGCCCGUCAUCGGAAUGGGUACAAUUUAAAUCCUUUAACGAGGAUCUAUUGGAGGGCAAGUCUGGUGCCAGCAGCCGCGGUAAUUCCAGCUCCAAAAGCGUAUAUUAAAGUUGUUGUGGUUAAAAAGCUCGUAGUUGGAUCUGCGCCCUAGGUUUGUGGUCCCCUAAAUGGGAGGUACUGCUUUACCUGGGCUAUUCUAUCUGGUUUUCCCUUUGUGCUCUUCACCGAGUGCUCUGGGUGACUGGAAUUUUUACUUUGAAAAAAUUAGAGUGCUCAAAGCAGGCGGUCAGCCUGAAUAGUGGUGCAUGGAAUAAUGGAAUAGGACUUCGGUUCUAUUUUGUUGGUUUUCGGAGCUCGAAGUAAUGAUUAAGAGGGACAGACGGGGGCAUUCGUAUUGCGACGUUAGAGGUGAAAUUCUUGGAUCGUCGCAAGACGCACU